UNGGGGUACUCGAGUGGCGAACGGGUGAGUAACACGUGGGUGAUCUGCCCUGCACUUUGGGAUAAGCCUGGGAAACUGGGUCUAAUACCGAAUAGGACCACGCGCUUCAUGGUGUGUGGUGGAAAGCUUUUGCGGUGUGGGAUGGGCCCGCGGCCUAUCAGCUUGUUGGUGGGGUAAUGGCCUACCAAGGCGACGACGGGUAGCCGGCCUGAGAGGGUGACCGGCCACACUGGGACUGAGAUACGGCCCAGACUCCUACGGGAGGCAGCAGUGGGGAAUAUUGCACAAUGGGCGCAAGCCUGAUGCAGCGACGCCGCGUGAGGGAUGACGGCCUUUCGGGUUGUAAACCUCUUUCAAUAGGGACGAAGCGCAAGUGACGGUACCUAUAGAAGAAGCACCGGCCAACUACGUGCCAGCAGCCGCGGUAAUACGUAGGGUGCGAGCGUUGUCCGGAAUUACUGGGCGUAAAGAGCUCGUAGGUGGUUUGUCGCGUUGUUCGUGAAAACUCACAGCUUAACUGUGGGCGUGCGGGCGAUACGGGCAGACUAGAGUACUGCAGGGGAGACUGGAAUUCCUGGUGUAGCGGUGGAAUGCGCAGAUAUCAGGAGGAACACCGGUGGCGAAGGCGGGUCUCUGGGCAGUAACUGACGCUGAGGAGCGAAAGCGUGGGGAGCGAACAGGAUUAGAUACCCUGGUAGUCCACGCCGUAAACGGUGGGUACUAGGUGUGGGUUCCUUCCUUGGGAUCCGUGCCGUAGCUAACGCAUUAAGUACCCCGCCUGGGGAGUACGGCCGCAAGGCUAAAACUCAAAGGAAUUGACGGGGGCCCGCACAAGCGGCGGAGCAUGUGGAUUAAUUCGAUGCAACGCGAAGAACCUUACCUGGGUUUGACAUGCACAGGACGCCGGCAGAGAUGUCGGUUCCCUUGUGGCCUGUGUGCAGGUGGUGCAUGGCUGUCGUCAGCUCGUGUCGUGAGAUGUUGGGUUAAGUCCCGCAACGAGCGCAACCCUUGUCCUAUGUUGCCAGCGGGUUAUGCCGGGGACUCGUAGGAGACUGCCGGGGUCAACUCGGAGGAAGGUGGGGAUGACGUCAAGUCAUCAUGCCCCUUAUGUCCAGGGCUUCACACAUGCUACAAUGGCCGGUACAAAGGGCUGCGAUGCCGUGAGGUGGAGCGAAUCCUUUCAAAGCCGGUCUCAGUUCGGAUCGGGGUCUGCAACUCGACCCCGUGAAGUCGGAGUCGCUAAUAAUCGCAGAUCAGCAACGCUGCGGUGAAUACGUUCCCGGGCCUUGUACACACCGCCCGUCACGUCAUGAAAGUCGGUAACACCCGAAGCCGG
RNAcentral lists this ribosomal RNA (1336 nucleotides) under Mycobacterium sp. DWMJ-1587B1. RNAcentral's name for it is "bacterial SSU rRNA". It matches the Rfam family "Bacterial small subunit ribosomal RNA", at positions 82 to 1430 of the family's 1533-position model. The record is from RNAcentral. Lineage: Bacteria; Bacillati; Actinomycetota; Actinomycetes; Mycobacteriales; Mycobacteriaceae.